AUGCUCACUUGGGCAGCACAUAUACUAAAAUUGGAACAAUAUAGAAAAGACUAGCAUGGCCCCUGCGCAAGGAUAAUAUACAAACUCAUGAAGCAUUUCAUAUUUUU
This 107-nucleotide small nuclear RNA is filed under the name Procavia capensis (Cape rock hyrax). Lineage: Eukaryota; Metazoa; Chordata; Mammalia; Hyracoidea; Procaviidae. The record is from RNAcentral.